Long non-coding RNA from Pseudoliparis swirei, 285 nucleotides. RefSeq lists it as uncharacterized. NCBI's taxonomy places the organism in Eukaryota, Metazoa, Chordata, Actinopteri, Perciformes, Liparidae. The record is from RefSeq and is a predicted model, not a curated record. The transcript has 3 exons.
UGCACAAACAGGAGGAUGGACACCGACAGACCUCCGGCCGCCUGCAGCAGCGCGCCCAGCUCUGCAGGGAUCACCAGCUUUCCUCCGAGCUAUAAACUGCAUCUGCAAACACAGAAAUCACACGCUGAACAUUUCCACUUGGAUCCGGACGAUGCUGAAGCACUAAAGAACAAAAGUGUGAAACAUUCUUCUGUCUCUUAAGGAUUCCUGAGGGCGAGGGAAGGUUGCACCUUGAAAGGAAAGGAGGCACGUUGUCCUUUAGGAGCAGACGUCACCCACCUUGAU